This 235-nucleotide ribosomal RNA is filed under the name uncultured bacterium. RNAcentral describes it as "partial 16S ribosomal RNA". It matches the Rfam family "Bacterial small subunit ribosomal RNA", at positions 99 to 334 of the family's 1533-position model. The record is from RNAcentral.
CGGACGGGUGAGUAACGCGUGGGUAACCUACCCUGUACACACGGAUAACAUACCGAAAGGUAUGCUAAUACGGGAUAAUAUAUUUGAGAGGCAUCUCUUGAAUAUCAAAGGUGAGCCAGUACAGGAUGGACCCGCGUCUGAUUAGCUAGUUGGUAAGGUAUCGGCUUACCAAGGCGACGAUCAGUAGCCGACCUGAGAGGGUGAUCGGCCACAUUGGAACUGAGACACGGUCCAA